This 889-nucleotide ribosomal RNA is filed under the name uncultured bacterium. Its description in RNAcentral is "bacterial SSU rRNA". It matches the Rfam family "Bacterial small subunit ribosomal RNA", at positions 41 to 916 of the family's 1533-position model. The record is from RNAcentral.
GGCGCGCUUAACACAUGCAAGUCGAGCGAGAACCAGGGCUUCGGCCCUGGGGACAGCGGCGAACGGGUGAGUAACACGUGGAUAACCUGCCCUCGGCACCGGGAUAGCCCGGGGAAACCCGGAUUAAUACCGGAUGGCCAUUCCGGCUCUCGAGCCGGUCUGAAAAGGUAGCUUCGGCCUCCGGCCGAGGAUGGGUCCGCGGCGGAUUAGCUUGUUGGUGGGGUAACGGCCUACCAAGGCUCCGAUCCGUAGCUGGUCUGAGAGGACGAUCAGCCACACUGGGACUGAGACACGGCCCAGACUCCUACGGGAGGCAGCAGUGGGGAAUCUUGCGCAAUGGGCGAAAGCCUGACGCAGCGACGCCGCGUGAGGGAGGAAGGCCUUCGGGUUGUAAACCUCUUUCAGGAGGGACGAAGCUACUCGGGUUAAUAGCCCAGAGGGUGACGGUACCUCCAGAAGAAGCCCCGGCUAACUACGUGCCAGCAGCCGCGGUAAUACGUAGGGGGCAAGCGUUGUCCGGAUUUACUGGGCGUAAAGAGCGUGUAGGCGGCCAAGCAGGUCCGUUGUGAAAACUGGAGGCUUAACCUCCAGACGUCGACGGAAACCGCGUGGCUAGAGUCCGGAAGAGGAGAGUGGAAUUCCUGGUGUAGCGGUGAAAUGCGCAGAUAUCAGGAAGAACACCAAUGGCGAAGGCAGCUCUCUGGGACGGUACUGACGCUGAGACGCGAAAGCGUGGGGAGCGAACAGGAUUAGAUACCCUGGUAGUCCACGCCGUAAACGAUGGGUGCUAGGUGUGGGAGGUGUCGACUCCUUCCGUGCCGUAGCUAACGCAUUAAGCACCCCGCCUGGGGAGUACGGCCGCAAGGCUAAAACUCAAAGGAAUUGACGG